Molecule: long non-coding RNA, 407 nt
Organism: Nymphalis io (European peacock)
Lineage: Eukaryota; Metazoa; Arthropoda; Insecta; Lepidoptera; Nymphalidae
Exons: 2
Source: RefSeq, a predicted model, not a curated record
UAGUCUCGAGAACAACCAGACACAAGUAACACUUAUAAGAGAACGGACGUUUGAAUAAACAAGUUGUCUGUUGAAUUAUUAAUAUUUACGUGACGGAACAGGAAUUAAAAAAUGGCGAGUUAUUGCUUUUUAAUAGCUUUGAUGAUAAUUGCUGCGCAAAUGAAUGACGCCCGAAACAUUGGAACUGCUCUAGUCAAGGUCGGAGAUAGCAACAACAGUUCUACGCCGUAUAUCACAUACGAGGAAUUACUGUACAUUCUAAAAUAUAGACAUGGUGAGGAAAAUACAAGACCGAAAUAUUUAACACCGUGUGCGCGAGCUAUUUUAGGGUGUUGUAACAACAAAAUAAUGAAUGAAUAUUGUUCUGAAUCCCUAAAGUGUGGAUCUUAUUUCUUUGAUGACAAUCC